GUAGAAGGUAUAGAUGUCGGCACUGGCAGGCUAGUCUGAAUAGCAACAUAGAGGUCCCUCUAUGUGGUGGACAUCAGCCCGACGCCUGAUUCCCCCGUAACAUCUUCUGCCUCCCCGCUCCUACCUCCAUUUGGUCAUCAGAUGCCACCGGAGUGACAUAUCUGCAGCUGACAAUUUUCUACCUAAGGAUAAAUGCUGUUUGCCGCCCCUGAACGAGCUGCACGGAGAACUUGUCUGCUUGCCGAUUUCAACUUAAGCAAUCUCCCCUUUGGUCGAUUUCUAGUCUCCUUGUUUCUCCUUUUUGAAGAAUUAUGUAGCAUGAUGCAGCUUGAGUCAGCCACCAUCUUGAACUAGCAAUGAACUUUGCUUUCUACAUAUAAAUACAGAUAGCAAUCACACCCCAAUCAGCGUGCAGGCUUCAGGGCAUCAUCUUUGCAACUCUAACGUUCCCAUUACGAUAAUGUGAUUUUCACUCAGUCUAUAAUAUCGCCUGCCAUGAA
Hyla sarda is the source of this 500-nucleotide long non-coding RNA. RefSeq lists it as uncharacterized. The record is from RefSeq and is a predicted model, not a curated record. NCBI's taxonomy places the organism in Eukaryota, Metazoa, Chordata, Amphibia, Anura, Hylidae. The transcript is spliced from 3 exons.